GACGAACGCUGGCGGCGUGCUUAACACAUGCAAGUCGAACGCUGAAGCCCUUUCGGGGGUGGAUGAGUGGCGAACGGGUGAGUAACACGUGGGUAAUCUGCCCUGCACUCUGGGAUAAGCCUUGGAAACGGGGUCUAAUACCGGAUAGGACACAUCGCCGCAUGGUGUGUGUGUGGAAAGUUCCGGCGGUGCAGGUUGAGCCCGCGGCCUAUCAGCUUGUUGGUGGGGUGAUGGCCUACCAAGGCGACGACGGGUAGCCGGCCUGAGAGGGUGACCGGCCACACUGGGACUGAGACACGGCCCAGACGCCUACGGGAGGCAGCAGGGGGGAAUCUUGCGCAAUGGGCGAAAGCCUGACGCAGCAACGCCGCGUGGGGGAUGACGGCCUUCGGGUUGUAAACCUCUUUCGACCGGGACGAAGGGUGACUGACGGUACCGGUAGAAGAAGCACCGGCUAACUACGUGCCAGCAGCCGCCGCCG
Molecule: ribosomal RNA, 481 nt
Filed under: uncultured bacterium
Lineage: Bacteria
Description: partial 16S ribosomal RNA
Rfam family: Bacterial small subunit ribosomal RNA
Source: RNAcentral